AUUGAACGCUGGCGGCAUGCCUUACACAUGCAAGUCGAACGGUAACAGGUCUUCGGAUGCUGCCGAGUGGCGAACGGGUGAGUAAUACAUCGGAACGUGCCCAGACGUGGGGGAUAACGAGGCGAAAGCUUUGCUAAUACCGCAUACGAUCUAAGGAUGAAAGCAGGGGACCGCAAGGCCUUGUGCGUUUGGAGCGGCCGAUGGCAGAUUAGGUAGUUGGUGGGAUAAAAGCUUACCAAGCCGACGAUCUGUAGCUGGUCUGAGAGGACGACCAGCCACACUGGGACUGAGACACGGCCCAGACUCCUACGGGAGGCAGCAGUGGGGAAUUUUGGACAAUGGGCGAAAGCCUGAUCCAGCAAUGCCGCGUGCAGGAUGAAGGCCUUCGGGUUGUAAACUGCUUUUGUACGGAACGAAAAGGCUCUGGCUAAUACCUGGGGCACAUGACGGUACCGUAAGAAUAAGCACCGGCUAACUACGUG
RNAcentral lists this ribosomal RNA (482 nucleotides) under uncultured bacterium. RNAcentral's name for it is "partial 16S ribosomal RNA". It matches the Rfam family "Bacterial small subunit ribosomal RNA", at positions 30 to 507 of the family's 1533-position model. The record is from RNAcentral.